Molecule: ribosomal RNA, 423 nt
Filed under: uncultured cyanobacterium
Lineage: Bacteria; Bacillati; Cyanobacteriota
Description: bacterial SSU rRNA
Rfam family: Bacterial small subunit ribosomal RNA
Source: RNAcentral
GGGGAAUUUUCCGCAAUGGGCGAAAGCCUGACGGAGCAAUACCGCGUGAGGGAGGAAGGUUUUUGGAUUGUAAACCUCAGAAAUUAGGGAAGAAGCAAGUGACGGUACCUAAUCUAAGCAUCGGCUAACUCCGUGCCAGCAGCCGCGGUAAUACGGAGGAUGCAAGCGUUAUCCGGAAUUAUUGGGCGUAAAGCGUCCGUAGGUGGUUAUUCAAGUCAGUUGUUAAAGCCCACAGCUCAACUGUGGAUCGGCAAUUGAAACUGAAUGACUUGAGUGUGGUAGGGGUAGAGGGAAUUCCUAGUGUAGCGGUGAAAUGCGUAGAUAUUAGGAAGAACACCAGUGGCGAAGGCGCUCUACUGGGCCAUAACUGACACUGAUGGACGAAAGCUAGGGGAGCGAAAGGGAUUAGAUACCCCAGUAGUC